UACAUAACAUAACGCUAAUUAAAUUUCUUUAAAUAAAACAGGUAUUAGUAAACCUACUUUAAAACCUAACCUAGUGGCAGCUUAUGGUGAUGGCAGUGACUCGGACACCGAACCUGAACCACUGGAUGUUCUCCAACCUGUGCAAAAUCCUCUUAAAGCAUGGGAGAUGAAGCUAACAGACUUAAAAAAGAUGGCUUGCUUACUGUGUAAACGUCAGUUCCCAAACAAGGAUGCUCUUACGAGACACCAAAAACUCUCCGACUUGCAUAAGCAAAACAUGGAGGCUUUACGAAGAACCAUAGACACACAAGAGGUAGUGGAAAAGGAUGAGAGAAAGCCCUUUUGAACAGUAUAAACGAAGAUAUAGGAGUUAAAACUGUAGCACUAGCCAGAAAGUUGAGGAUUGGGUUGAACUAAUCGGAGAACGUACAAUAUUGUCCAGAGAGAAGAAGGAAAAAAAGACUAACAGGUGCUGAGCUAGGAAUGGAAGAAACCAAAUGUGCAGUCGGUAACUUUCAUAAAGAAGAAAUCUAUGUAAGACACACAUAAUGUGUUGCUAUCAUUUUUAUUUUCUGACUUGAUUCAUUCCUCUUCUUGUUCACUGUAAUAUACCAUCUUGCAUACGUGUAAUCAUGCAGAUUUUUGAAAUGUAUAAAGUUCUUUUGUAUCUUAAAAUCACAAAGUGUUCAAGUUAUUCUCUGAAAAACGUAGAUUAAUUAUCAACAACUGAAAUUCCUUCCAAAUCCAAUUUCAUUUCAGGUUACCAGCAGUAAGCGAACUAGGCAUUCAUGAAUUAUCAAAUGAUAUAAAUUAACAACUGUGAUGGAACCAACUGGUAUUGCUGCCACCCCUGUAAUGGCUUGAUUUUAUCAUAGAAUGUUACUCUACUAGUGUAGAGUUUUAAUCAGAAAGUUACAUUUUUAAAAUUUACUCACCAAGAUUAAUGUUUCCAUUUGCAUCGUUUUGUGUUUGUUUGUUUAUGGAACCAUAUUAGUCACCACUACCAAUAGAUGUAAAAGAAAAAAAAAAGAUUAUUUAUAGGCAUUACGGUAAUCAUAAGUUCAAAUGAUAUGGCCUCAGUAAUGAGUAUAGAUGAUUAAAUAUACAGUUCUUGCAUAUAAAGGUUAAGAAUGUAUUUUUACACCGUUUAAAUACUCUCUGUCUCAGUAAUAUUUUAUGGCUAUAUUCCCGAUAAUAUGUGCUGAGGUUAAGAUUACUCCUACAGCUAUAUACUAAGCUGCUAGCAAUGUCAAAUCUUGUUAAUAAAUGUACGACAAUACAAAAUAAACAAGAUUUAUGUAUAAUAAAUAUUCUAACCAAUAAUGAAAGUAAUAUUAAAGAAAACAAAAGUGUAUGUUAUUGGUGUAAACUGAUAAUAUGGUGUUAACUCAUUGUUUUUCACCAUGUUGCCGGUGUCCAUUUUCCUCAAGCUCGCAAAAACAUGAUGGAAAAAAAUUUGGAAGAUGAUGAUUUAGUCUUUGGCAAGACAAUCAAUAAAGCAAAUAUAGAAUCCAAAUUAAAUGCAAGUAAUGCUUUAUUUUGCAGCCAAUCUUUUAUACCAAUUGUAAACAUUUCAGAAAAAUUAUGAAGAAUAUUGUAUUUGUAGAUUUCUCACAAAUUGCCAUCUAAUCAACGUGUAGUUAGUUAGUUGUUGUUUUUUUCUACUUCUGUAUAAUAAACACAUAUUUAAUAUUCU
This 1696-nucleotide long non-coding RNA is filed under the name Limulus polyphemus (Atlantic horseshoe crab). RNAcentral's name for it is "uncharacterized LOC106475704". The record is from RNAcentral. Lineage: Eukaryota; Metazoa; Arthropoda; Merostomata; Xiphosura; Limulidae.